CCGGAAGUGUUACCAAAAAUGGGAACCGAUCGUGACAGUGCCGGCAGGUUGAUUACCCACAAGACACCACUGGGUGUCCAGAAGAGGAACACCCUGGAAUUUAAAAGCAGGCAGAAGGUGAACUACAGGGACUGUAACAGGGCAGACUAACAGUGGAUGAAAUGUGGGCAGACAGGCCUGGAGGAUAAGCAUCUGUAAGAAUGAAGGUGGAAACAAGAGAUGGAGGUCCCACUGAUGGAGUGCCAGAGCUUCAGUACAUCAGAUGAAUGGCUGCAGAGUCAAGUCCUGUAUUUGGCUCCUCCAGAUCUGAUGGCAUGGAGUGCUAUAGAGACAGCAACAAAGAAGACUCCAUUGAACGUAAGCCACCAGUGCAACAAUGGCCAGAGCCAAGCCUGUUCCCAGCACUGCAGCCCAUGUUCCAUUCUUUUUUCUCCCUUUUGAAUCUGAAUCCAAACCAUCACUGGAUUCACUGGAG
Cynoglossus semilaevis (tongue sole) is the source of this 475-nucleotide long non-coding RNA. RefSeq lists it as uncharacterized. NCBI's taxonomy places the organism in Eukaryota, Metazoa, Chordata, Actinopteri, Pleuronectiformes, Cynoglossidae. The record is from RefSeq and is a predicted model, not a curated record. The transcript has 4 exons.